RNAcentral lists this ribosomal RNA (253 nucleotides) under uncultured bacterium. RNAcentral describes it as "partial 16S ribosomal RNA". It matches the Rfam family "Bacterial small subunit ribosomal RNA", at positions 524 to 776 of the family's 1533-position model. The record is from RNAcentral.
UACAGAGGUCUCAAGCGUUGUUCGGAUUCAUUGGGCGUAAAGGGUGUGUAGGUGGCGCGCUAAGUCGGGUGUGAAAUUUCGGAGCUUAACUCCGAAACUGCAUUCGAUACUGGCGUGCUUGAGGACUGGAGAGGAGACUGGAAUUUACGGUGUAGCAGUGAAAUGCGUAGAUAUCGUAAGGAAGACCAGUGGCGAAGGCGGGUCUCUGGGCCGAUAUUGACGCUGAGGAGCGAAAGCGUGGGGAGCAAACAGG